CCUACGGGUGGCUGCAGUGGGGAAUAUUGGGCAAUGGGCGCAAGCCUGACCCAGCAACGCCGCGUGAAGGAAGAAGGCUCUCGGGUUGUAAACUUCUUUUAUCAGGGACGAAACAAGUGACGGUACCUGAUGAAUAAGCCACGGCUAACUACGUGCCAGCAGCCGCGGGAAUCCGUAGGUGGCAAGCGUUAUCCGGAUUUACUGGGUGUAAAGGGCGUGUAGGCGGGAAAGUAAGUCAGAUGUGAAAACCAUGGGCUCAACCUGUGGCCUGCAUUUGAAACUGGUUUUCUUGAGUACAGGAGAGGCAGACGGAAUGCGUGGUGUAGCGGUGAAAUGCGUAGAUAUUAGGAGGAACCCCAGUGGCGAAGGCGGUCUGCUGGACAGCAACUGACGCUGAGGCGCGAAAGCGUGGGGAGCAAACAGGAUUAGAUACCCUUGUAGUC
RNAcentral lists this ribosomal RNA (443 nucleotides) under uncultured bacterium. RNAcentral describes it as "partial 16S ribosomal RNA". It matches the Rfam family "Bacterial small subunit ribosomal RNA", at positions 338 to 795 of the family's 1533-position model. The record is from RNAcentral.